Molecule: long non-coding RNA, 256 nt
Filed under: Coffea arabica (coffee)
Lineage: Eukaryota; Viridiplantae; Streptophyta; Magnoliopsida; Gentianales; Rubiaceae
Description: long non-coding RNA (CARA_LNC004895)
Source: RNAcentral
AACAACCACCAGGUCAAACUGCCUUACCUCCACCUCCAAUGCAGCAGUUCAGGAGCAUGCCGCCUCCACCUCCACAAAUUGCUCCAGCUUUACCAAGGCCUCCACCACCACCAGUAGGCAUGGUGACUGCUCCAAAUGUGUGGCGGCCACCACCACCUCCUCAGCAGUUAGGUGGUGGGCCCCCAUCUAUGCCACCACAUCUGCCACCCCCUCCUCCGGGCAAUUUUCCCCCACCUCCCCCUCCUUCAUAGAAGCU